RNAcentral lists this transfer RNA (68 nucleotides) under Pheidole smythiesii. RNAcentral describes it as "tRNA-Trp". The record is from RNAcentral. Lineage: Eukaryota; Metazoa; Arthropoda; Insecta; Hymenoptera; Formicidae.
AAGAUUUUAAGUUAACUCUAAAACUCUAAGCCUUCAAAGUUUAAAAUAUAAUUAUUUUAUAAAUCUUA